CAGGGGUCAGCUUUGAGCCCUUAUCUUUUUGCAUUGGUGAUGGAUGAGGUCACAAGGGGUAUACAAGGAGAUAUCCCAUGGUCUAUGCUCUUUGCGGAUGAUGUGGUGCUAGUUGACGAUAGUCGGACGGGGGUAAAUAGGAAGUUAGAGUUAUGGAGACAAACCUUGGAAUCGAAAGGGUUUAGGCUUAGUAGAACUAAAACCGAGUACAUGAUGUGCGGUUUCAGUACUACUAGCUGUGAGGAGGAGGAGGUUAGCCUUGAUGGCCAGGUGGUACCUCGGAAGGACACCUUUCGGUAUUUGGGGUCAAUGUUGCAGGAGGAUGGGGGUAUUGAUGAAGAUGUGAACCAUCGAAUCAAAGCCGGAUGGAUGAAGUGG
Molecule: ribosomal RNA, 378 nt
Filed under: Triticum aestivum (bread wheat)
Lineage: Eukaryota; Viridiplantae; Streptophyta; Magnoliopsida; Poales; Poaceae
Description: partial small subunit ribosomal RNA
Source: RNAcentral